GUCUCUUUGUGCUGCUGUCUGUGCCAUCUGCCAUUUUGUUCUGGCCUCGUGUCUCCCGCCUAUCGGCCCCUCUCCGCUGGUGAGUACCUUCUUGCUGGGGGUGGACCGGGAUAACCCUUGCCGGUCCGGGGGGGGGGAAUGAGAGCCCCGCCGCAGAAGCUCAGUCUGUUUUGGCGGCAGAGGAGCGGCCAUCUCCUCCGCGCCCGCCAUGUGGUUAG
Molecule: non-coding RNA, 218 nt
Organism: Pelobates cultripes (western spadefoot toad)
Lineage: Eukaryota; Metazoa; Chordata; Amphibia; Anura; Pelobatidae
Source: the annotation of a GenBank genome assembly